AGCUAUGUCCUACGGGAGCAGCAGUAGGGAAUUUUCGUCAAUGGGGGCAACCCUGAACGAGCAAUGCCGCGUGAGCGAAGAAGGUCUUCGGAUUGUAAAGCUCUGUUGCCGGGGAAAAAGGAAGGAAAGAGGAAAUGCUUUUUCUUUGGAUGGUACCCGGCCAGAAAGUCACGGCUAACUACGUGCC
Molecule: ribosomal RNA, 187 nt
Filed under: uncultured bacterium
Lineage: Bacteria
Description: partial 16S ribosomal RNA
Rfam family: Bacterial small subunit ribosomal RNA
Source: RNAcentral